This 473-nucleotide ribosomal RNA is filed under the name uncultured delta proteobacterium. RNAcentral's name for it is "bacterial SSU rRNA". It matches the Rfam family "Bacterial small subunit ribosomal RNA", at positions 38 to 488 of the family's 1533-position model. Lineage: Bacteria; Deltaproteobacteria. The record is from RNAcentral.
GGCGGCGUGCCUAACACAUGCAAGUCGAACGGAAUCAGGGGGCUUGCUCCUUGAUUUAGUGGCGCACGGGUGAGUAAUGCGUAGAUAAUCUACCUGAGGAUCCGGGAUAACAUUUCGAAAGGGGUGCUAAUACCGGAUAAGCCCACGGAGUCUUCGGACUCUGCGGGAAAAGGGGGGGACCUUCGGGCCUUCUGUCCUUAGAUGAGUCUACGUACCAUUAGCUAGUUGGUGGGGUAAAGGCCUACCAAGGCUACGAUGGUUAGCUGGUCUGAGAGGAUGAUCAGCCACACUGGAACUGAGACACGGUCCAGACUCCUACGGGAGGCAGCAGUGGGGAAUUUUGCGCAAUGGGGGAAACCCUGACGCAGCAACGCCGCGUGAGUGAUGAAGGCCUUCGGGUCGUAAAGCUCUGUCAGUGGGAAAGAAGUGUAUUACGGCUAAUACCCGUGAUACUUGACGGUACCCACAAAGGA